UUUUUGAACUAAUAUAGAAUAUCACACUCGUGUGAAGUUAAUAUACAGCAACUCGUUUAACUUAAGCUACAAAAUAUGAAAAUUGUAAAGUUAAUAACCAUCUUUGCGAUAAUUGCAACAUUGAUGACAACCGUAAUUACCAAAAAAGCUCUCGGCCCUAAAGUACUAGCAUCACUGGCAGGAAAAUAAAACUGAAAUCUGAAACGCGAAUAAUUAUAAAAUUGUGAUUCCAAAAUGGAUGUGCCAAUAAAUCUACAUAAAUGCACACAAUAGUAUUCAUUAUCAAAAAAAUAAACUUGGAUAAUGGAACACAAAUAAUUGCAAAAUUGUAAAAUUGUGAUAUCAAAAUGAAUCAAUAAAGCAUUAAUUACAUAUA
This is a long non-coding RNA of Temnothorax curvispinosus, 376 nucleotides long. RefSeq lists it as uncharacterized. The record is from RefSeq and is a predicted model, not a curated record. The transcript is spliced from 3 exons. Lineage: Eukaryota; Metazoa; Arthropoda; Insecta; Hymenoptera; Formicidae.